Molecule: long non-coding RNA, 239 nt
Organism: Clupea harengus (Atlantic herring)
Lineage: Eukaryota; Metazoa; Chordata; Actinopteri; Clupeiformes; Clupeidae
Exons: 3
Source: RefSeq, a predicted model, not a curated record
CAUCCAAAACUUUCCAUACAGGUUUAAAGACAAAACCAACCGGCCACAGAAAAUACAAGAAAGGUUUAAAACAACUGGCUCAAUUGGAGGUUUUCUUCUGGUUGAACCUGAAGAUUUGAACCACUACGAACCAUUAUAUUGCUACACCAUUCAAGGAAGACAGCUGGUCACAGCAAAAGCCUUUUUGCUUCAUUAAGAAUGUUGCUCAGAGUUGUUUUGGCACCAGAUGACAUCAGGAG